RNAcentral lists this ribosomal RNA (492 nucleotides) under uncultured bacterium. Its description in RNAcentral is "partial 16S ribosomal RNA". It matches the Rfam family "Bacterial small subunit ribosomal RNA", at positions 29 to 507 of the family's 1533-position model. The record is from RNAcentral.
AGUGAACGCUGGCGGUAGGCCUAACACAUGCAAGUCGAACGGCAGCACAGUAAGAGCUUGCUCUUACGGGUGGCGAGUGGCGGACGGGUGAGGAAUACAUCGGAAUCUACUUUUUCGUGGGGGAUAACGUAGGGAAACUUACGCUAAUACCGCAUACGAUCUACGGGUGAAAGCAUGGGAUCUUCGGACCUUGCGCGAUUGAAUGAGCCGAUGUCGGAUUAGCUAGUUGGCGGGGUAAAGGCCCACCAAGGCGACGAUCCGUAGCUGGUCUGAGAGGAUGAUCAGCCACACUGGAACUGAGACACGGUCCAGACUCCUACGGGAGGCAGCAGUGGGGAAUAUUGGACAAUGGGCGCAAGCCUGAUCCAGCCAUACCGCGUGGGUGAAGAAGGCCUUCGGGUUGUAAAGCCCUUUUGUUGGGAAAGAAAAGCAGCAGGUUAAUACCCCGCUGUUCUGACGGUACCCAAAGAAUAAGCACCGGCUAACUUCGUG